GACGAACGCUGGCGGCGUGCUUAGCACAUGCAAGUCGAACGGUAGGGCCCUUCGGGGUACACGAGUGGCGAACGGGUGAGUAACACGUGGGUGAUCUGCCCUGUACUUCGGGAUAAGCCUGGGAAACUGGGUCUAAUACCGGAUAGGACCCUGGGAUGCAUGUCCUGGGGUGGAAAGCUUUUGCGGUGUGGGAUGGGCCCGCGGCCUAUCAGCUUGUUGGUGGGGUGAUGGCCUACCAAGGCGACGACGGGUAGCCGGCCUGAGAGGGUGACCGGCCACACUGGGACUGAGAUACGGCCCAGACUCCUACGGGAGGCAGCAGUGGGGAAUAUUGCACAAUGGGCGCAAGCCUGAUGCAGCGACGCCGCGUGAGGGAUGACGGCCUUCGGGUUGUAAACCUCUUUCAGCACCGACGAAGCGCAAGUGACGGUAGGUGCAGAAGAAGGACCGGCCAACUACGUGCCAGCCGCCGCGGUAA
This 478-nucleotide ribosomal RNA is filed under the name uncultured bacterium. Its description in RNAcentral is "partial 16S ribosomal RNA". It matches the Rfam family "Bacterial small subunit ribosomal RNA", at positions 28 to 523 of the family's 1533-position model. The record is from RNAcentral.